CAGCGUAGAGGCCAAAGGUUGUUCAUACAACGGAAGGAUCGUGUGGUCGAUUCCUUUGCAUGCUAAUAUUUUUUACACUUCUUCAAAAGUCAAUCCUCUUUAGCUCAUAUCUUGUUAUUACUUCUUCUGUAAUCAUUUAAUAUUUAUGAGAAAUUAAUUGCUUAUGUGAUAUUUUCGUGAUUCAAAAUUCCAACUUUGUAAAUUUUCA
This 208-nucleotide long non-coding RNA is filed under the name Capsicum annuum. RNAcentral describes it as "long non-coding RNA (CANN_LNC017756)". Lineage: Eukaryota; Viridiplantae; Streptophyta; Magnoliopsida; Solanales; Solanaceae. The record is from RNAcentral.